GGGUUGUGAGGUUAAGCGACUAAGCGUACACGGUGGAUGCCCUGGCAGUCAGAGGCGAUGAAGGGCGUGCUAAUCUGCGAUAAGCGCCGGUAAGGUGAUAUGAACCGUUAUAACCGGCGAUACCCGAAUGGGGAAACCCAGUGUGACUCGUCACACUAUCAUUAACUGAAUCCAUAGGUUAAUGAGGCGAACCGGGGGAACUGAAACAUCUAAGUACCCCGAGGAAAAGAAAUCAACCGAGAUUCCCCCAGUAGCGGCGAGCGAACGGGGAGGAGCCCAGAGCCUGAAUCAGCAUGUGUGUUAGUGGAAGCGUCUGGAAAGGCGCGCGAUACAGGGUGACAGCCCCGUACACAAAAGCGCAUGUGCUGUGAGCUCGAUGAGUAGGGCGGGACACGUGGUAUCCUGUCUGAAUAUGGGGGGACCAUCCUCCAAGGCUAAAUACUCCUGACUGACCGAUAGUGAACCAGUACCGUGAGGGAAAGGCGAAAAGAACCCCGGCGAGGGGAGUGAAAAAGAACCUGAAACCGUGUACGUACAAGCAGUGGGAGCCCCACCACCAAAGCAUUCUCUGGUGUUGAAGGCCCUGCAAAGCAGCAUCGCGGUGGCGGAGCGUCGUUUGCGACGCCCAACACACAAAACAAGCGGUGAAUGCUUUGGGGUGGGGUGACUGCGUACCUUUUGUAUAAUGGGUCAGCGACUUAUAUUCUGUAGCAAGGUUAACCGAAUAGGGGAGCCGGAGGGAAACCGAGUCUUAAUUGGGCGUUAAGUUGCAGGGUAUAGACCCGAAACCCGGUGAUCUAGCCAUGGGCAGGUUGAAGGUUGGGUAACACUAACUGGAGGACCGAACCGACUAAUGUUGAAAAAUUAGCGGAUGACCUGUGGCUGGGGGUGAAAGGCCAAUCAAACCGGGAGAUAGCUGGUUCUCCCCGAAAGCUAUUUAGGUAGCGCCUCGUGAAUUCAUCUCCGGGGGUAGAGCACUGUUUCGGCUAGGGGGCCAUCCCGGCUUACCAACCCGAUGCAAACUGCGAAUACCGGAGAAUGUUAUCACGGGAGACACACGGCGGGUGCUAACGUCCGUCGUGAAGAGGGAAACAACCCAGACCGCCAGCUAAGGUCCCAAAGUCAUGGUUAAGUGGGAAACGAUGUGGGAAGGCCCAGACAGCCAGGAUGUUGGCUUAGAAGCAGCCAUCAUUUAAAGAAAGCGUAAUAGCUCACUGGUCGAGUCGGCCUGCGCGGAAGAUGUAACGGGGCUAAACCAUGCACCGAAGCUGCGGCAGCGAC
Molecule: ribosomal RNA, 1281 nt
Filed under: Salmonella enterica subsp. enterica serovar Heidelberg
Lineage: Bacteria; Pseudomonadati; Pseudomonadota; Gammaproteobacteria; Enterobacterales; Enterobacteriaceae
Description: bacterial LSU rRNA
Rfam family: Bacterial large subunit ribosomal RNA
Source: RNAcentral